RNAcentral lists this ribosomal RNA (433 nucleotides) under uncultured bacterium. Its description in RNAcentral is "partial 16S ribosomal RNA". It matches the Rfam family "Bacterial small subunit ribosomal RNA", at positions 29 to 507 of the family's 1533-position model. The record is from RNAcentral.
AACGAACGCUGGCGGCAUGCCUAACACAUGCAAGUCGAACGAGACCUUCGGGUCUAGUGGCGCACGGGUGCGUAACGCGUGGAAACCUGCCCUUAGGUUCGGAAUAACUCCCCGAAAGGGGUGCUAAUACCGGAUAAUGUCUUCGGACCAAAGAUUUAUCGCCUUUGGAUGGGCCCGCGUUGGAUUAGUUAGUUGGUAGGGUAAAAGCCUACCAAGGCGACGCUCCAUAGCUGGUCUGAGAGGAUGAUCAGCCACACUGGGACUGAGACACGGCCCAGACUACUACGGGAGGAAGCAGUGGGGAAGAUUGGACAAUGGGCGAAAGCCUGAUCCAGCAAUGCCGCGUGAGUGAUGAAGGCCUUAGGGUUGUAAAGCUCUUUUACCCGGGAUGAUAAUGACAGUACCGGGAGAAUAAGCUCCGGCUAACUCCGUG